UGGCGUUUUGUUUGUAUAGAUCCUAUUAUCUUUUGGGUUAUAUCAUAAUACUGUUUGUCUUCUUGUGUAUGUCAAAGCAAUGGAAAGUGAUAAAGGAAGAAUUGGUGGGAUAGGCGGUGGUGGUAUAGGGGCUGGAGGAAGCAGGAAAGAGAAAGGCUUAAAUACUAGUAAACGUGAGGCAGCUGCUAAACGAAAAGCACGGCCAGAUCCUCCCCAACACUACGAUGUACCUCAACCAACACCACGGGUUUUCGCUGAUGGAAGCAAACUGCUUUUUGAUUGGUGUCAGAUACACCCGACUUUGCUUUGUCAUAUUAUUUGUCAAAUCACGGAUAUCUGUUGGGCUCUAGUUCUUGGCCGGAUUCUCCAGUUCGUGUACAACAAGGAUCGUCACAAUGUCAAUCAACACAAGUAUUUGGACAUUGAUGGCUUCGCAAAAUUGUGAAAUUGGGGAAGAAAGAAAUAGCUCAUAAUAAAGUAGCUGAGAGUAGUAGUAUGGCGGUUGGUUCUCUUAAAAAUGCAAUGAAGCACAUACAUGACGUUGGAAUACAGAAAAAGAAAGACACUAUCAAGACGAAAUCAAAGACAUUUACAGUCAAGGGCUCUUUUUUCCUAUAAAAGAUGCAACUCCAGGAAUGAUCACUCGUUUGCUAGAGACUAAAGGUCCUGUUGGUAUGGCACUUGAUGUGACCCCUGUGCUUCUAAAACUUAAAGAUGGAAUUUAUAGGGUACCAGAGCCAGAAGUUGGAAAAGAGAGACAUGUCAUCACUAUUGUAGCACAUGGGGUAACAUUAGAUGGAGAAAUUUUUUUCGAUGUGCAAAACACAUGGGGAGUCAACUGGGGAGUUGCAGGUCAUGGGAGGAUCAUAAUUACAGGAACCACUAACGACAUCUUUUUUCUAGACCAAUUGCUUAAGAAAAAUAAGUAAAUUUGGCCUACACUACCUGUUUAGUUUCAUCUUAUAACUUUUCUUUCUAAUUUUCUUUAUUUUAUUUUAUCUUAAUUAUAUUUCGACUUCUUAAA
This is a long non-coding RNA of Raphanus sativus (radish), 1024 nucleotides long. RefSeq lists it as uncharacterized. NCBI's taxonomy places the organism in Eukaryota, Viridiplantae, Streptophyta, Magnoliopsida, Brassicales, Brassicaceae. The record is from RefSeq and is a predicted model, not a curated record. The transcript is spliced from 5 exons.